AUACGGAGGGUGCAAGCGUUACUCGGAAUCACUGGGCGUAAAGCGCACGCAGGCGGCUAUUUAAGUUGGAUGUGAAAGCCUACGGCUCAACCGUAGAACUGCAUCCAAAACUAUUUAGCUAGAGUGUGGGAGAGGAAGAUGGAAUUAGUUGUGUAGGGGUAAAAUCCGUAGAGAUAACUAGGAAUACCAAAAGCGAAGGCAAUCUUCUGGAACACUACUGACGCUGAGGCGCGAAAGCGUGGGGAGCAAACAGGAUUAGAUACCCUAGUAGUCC
RNAcentral lists this ribosomal RNA (274 nucleotides) under uncultured bacterium. RNAcentral's name for it is "partial 16S ribosomal RNA". It matches the Rfam family "Bacterial small subunit ribosomal RNA", at positions 523 to 796 of the family's 1533-position model. The record is from RNAcentral.